UCUAAUAUAGCUCAGUUGGUAGAGCAUGAGACUCAGGGUUGUGGGUUUGAGCUCCAUGUUAGGAA
Molecule: non-coding RNA, 65 nt
Organism: Podarcis lilfordi (Lilford's wall lizard)
Lineage: Eukaryota; Metazoa; Chordata; Lepidosauria; Squamata; Lacertidae
Source: the annotation of a GenBank genome assembly